This 520-nucleotide long non-coding RNA is filed under the name Mytilus galloprovincialis (Mediterranean mussel). Lineage: Eukaryota; Metazoa; Mollusca; Bivalvia; Mytilida; Mytilidae. The record is from RNAcentral.
AGCAUACAGACAAUAUUAUUAUAAACAAUAACAUAUGAAAUACACAGACAAUACAAUAUAUAUAACAAGUGUUAACAAAAUAAUAAAGUAAAAGUAGCAAUGUAUUAUUAUUCAAUGAAUACUAUGUUGAAUUCAGUGACUCAAGUGCACCCGGUAAGUGUAUUUUCACUUUGAAAAGACCAACAAGAGGCAUUAGUAGUUUGUGGGGAGAAAAUAAAAAAAAUUAAAAAAAAACAAUUUAAGCACUCGCACAUUUGACCAUGAGGUAUACUGCAAAUAACAAGUAUUAUUUAAUAAAGGAUAUUUAGUAUGACUUAUCUGCAGAAAGCACCAAGAGUCGGUGCUUAAAGGGAAGUCCCUACUUGUACGUAAUGCAGAUGAGUCAAACUCCUAAAUUAUUUUAAAAAUAUUUUAAAAACAUAUAUUUAGGAUUAUAGAUUCUGGGUCCACCCAGCAAGGAUCAUCAAGGAACGGUGCCAGAGAAUUUGAAAUUCUUCUUAUGAUCUGUGCAGGCUUAACA